Molecule: ribosomal RNA, 425 nt
Filed under: uncultured bacterium
Lineage: Bacteria
Description: bacterial SSU rRNA
Rfam family: Bacterial small subunit ribosomal RNA
Source: RNAcentral
UUGCCGGCGACCGGCGCACGGGUGAGUAACGCGUAUCCAACCUUCCGUACACUCAGGGAUAGCCUUUCGAAAGAAAGAUUAAUACCUGAUGGUAUGAUGAGAUUGCAUGAUAGCAUCAUUAAAUAUUUAUCGGUGUACGAUGGGGAUGCGUUCCAUUAGGUAGUAGGCGGGGUAACGGCCCACCAAGGCGACGAUCAGUAGGGGUUCUGAGAGGAAGGUCCCCCACAUUGGAACUGAGACACGGUCCAAACUCCUACGGGAGGCAGCAGUGAGGAAUAUUGGUCAAUGGACGAGAGUCUGAACCAGCCAAGUAGCGUGCAGGAUGACGGCCCUAUGGGUUGUAAACUGCUUUUUAUAAGGGAAUAAAGUGAGUCUCGUGAGGCUUUUUGCAUGUACCUUAUGAAUAAGGACCGGCUAAUUCCGUG